This 71-nucleotide transfer RNA is filed under the name Fibrobacterota bacterium. RNAcentral describes it as "Fibrobacteres bacterium tRNA-Gln". It matches the Rfam family "tRNA". From Rfam's summary of the family: Transfer RNA (tRNA) molecules are approximately 80 nucleotides in length. Their secondary structure includes four short double-helical elements and three loops (D, anti-codon, and T loops). The record is from RNAcentral. Lineage: Bacteria; Pseudomonadati; Fibrobacterota.
UGGGGUAUCGUCCAAUGGCAGGACUUCGGUUUCUGGUUCCGACUAUCGAGGUUCGAAUCCUUGUACCCCAA